AUGGCCACAAGCUAUGGUUUCAUGUCCUGGCUGAGCCACGAAAUUCGGACAUUGCAAGGACCCACUGCAAAAUGUGUUGCAUUAUUGACUGAGAUACUGAGCAUUUUAGGUGCAAACUUGCCAGUACGGUAUUCAGGAGCUGUUCUCAACCUCUUCUUAUUUUUGGCUGAGUUUGUCACCUCUCUGAACAGUCAUUAUCUAUCCAUGUUCAUCUCGUCUCUCCGAUUUAUCAGCCGGAAAGCAAGGAUGUCGAUCAAGUCAAAACUCUAUCCACCUUACUCACAAAUAUCGCCACGAAAAUCUCACGCAGUACCCACCAAACAUGCCAGUAUUUCCUCAAGUACGGCACCAAAUAUUCCCCUAGUAUAAGCGUAGAAGAUUCAGAGAGCGUUGACCAAAAUUUAAUGGCUCUGUUUGUUGAUUAUUUGUAAGAGAUCUCUGCCUCUUAUUUAUCACUUGAAUUAGUACAUAACGACGGUGAAACUACCAAACCACGUAUCUCGUUUGGUGUGUUUAAAAAUCUACGCUCGCAUUUUAGUUUUUUGAAGUAGACCAAAUCAAUAUCAUUCCUUGAAAUUUUCACAGAAUUUCCUCCCCACGAAGAGGAAAAAUCACAGAAAUUUUCAAGACUGGACGUUGAGUAGUUUUUCAUUUAAAAAAUAAAGUAUGACAGGAAGUCUGCAACGUCGCAAACCGAGAUACGUGGUUUGGUAGUUUCACCGUCGAUAAGCUCUGAUAGAUAACAAGCAGAACUUACAAUUCAGCAAGAUCACUACUGUGAUAAAAAUGCGUUUAAUUUCAGUUUGAUCCCACUUACAUGUGACCUGUUACAUUUUGGCAAGAUAACGAAUGAACGAUUCAUGUUUAAUUUCUGUUUCCAUAACUUUUUGACUCAAUCUGUCUUUUGAGACUGUAAGUUAAAUAGGCUGAUUAACUUGGAAUCAGCCCAGAACUAGCAUAGCACCAGAUGAGUUGGUUGUUGUUUACCUCUAGCUGUCACACGCUGUAGACAUUUAGCAAUAUUCUGUCAGAAGAAGAUAUUAGUUUUCAUUAUCGCGCACAUCGGCAGGACUGCGUCACACUGCAUUUAGUCAAUUGUUGGUUGCCAUUUAACGGCAGCCUUUGACCUUUCCAUAUACAAACAAGCUGAGAGAGAGGAAAAGAAUCAUUGAUUUAGAUAAAAAUUGUCACUUCGACUAGAUUUGUUCCAUUAAUUGUACAUUGCUUUGUUUCUCCUGUCUUGCCAUGUGCCUAAGUGCCUUACAGGCGCAGCAAUUAGACUAUAGAUUUCGAUUAGCUCCUUUUCCUGCAACCCUGCGUCUCAGGUGAAUUUUCCAGAAAACCUUUUGUAAGUACGAUAAUCCUCACAGUGUAUGCAACAAACACUCAAACCUCUGUAAACACUGUCCCUACACUAAGCCCUGCCAAUCAUGAAUAUAAAAAAUGAUUGUAUACCAUUUUUCUGCAGGUGCGCUUAAGGGAGGGUUGUAACAAAAUUUAUUUGUCAUAGUGAUUCAGACAAGUCUAAUUCAGGAAGUAAGAUGCAGAAAAGUAUCGUAUUUAUGAUAAUUACUAAUUGAGAACCCUGUACAUUGUGUAAUUAAUUUCAUUAAUUGGUCAACUUUCAAAAUACUGCACCAAGCUAACUUGCAAAAAGUCAGCUCGGACUUUUUUGUAAGUUUGGUUCUAAGUCUGUGUUUGGAUCUUAAAAUAAAUUCUUAGUAAAUAAGUUUUAAGGCAGCAUCUGUGAUCAAUAUUUAAUUUAAGCACAACUGUAAUUUAAUCACGCAAAAUUGUAAAUAAAAAUUAAGUUGUAAGAUUUAAUUCAUGAAACAUUAAAUUUAAAAAUUGUCAUCAGUGAUUUUAUCAUCAUUACUAUUUUUAUCCUCAGGUUAGAGUUUAUAAAAUAAUUCAUUCUCAAAAAAAAGAAGAAGAAAUCAGCCAACACCCAAACAAACAUCAUACUCGAACGCCAACUUUCAGAGGCAUUAGAGUGAGACACCUCUAGUAGUAAGUAAGAGAUAAAAUGAGAUGGAAAAAAGAGAAACUGUAAAGGACCCUUAGUCUGAAGCCUUACAUGUCGAGUGAGCUGAUGAAAUUUAUAGACAAAGCGGUAGACAAAGAAGACGUGGGGAGUAUGGAGUGAUCCUAUUGGUUGAAACGGGUGGUCUUUAUAGACCAAGUAGAUAAAUGAUGGACUAACUUUAGGGUCUCUGGUUGCCGUUAGUUAGUCUACUGCCUACCUCCUAUGUCCAUUACAAUCACCCACUUCCACCAAAAGGAUACCUCCAUAUCCCUUUUGUAUUCUUUGUCUAUCAAUUUCAACAAUUAGCCCACAGUUUGUAUCGAAUUUGAACCUGAAAAACAUGAAAUUAGAAGAGGUAGUCCGUAAAAUUCUUAAAAUUCGUCAACUUAUUUUUGGUAAAUGACCGAUUUUUAAAAAAUAACUAUCAUUAUUGUCUAACGAGAGAUCCAGUAUUAAGAAUAUAUUCUUUGUAGAACCUCAGUCUCUACGGAGCUGUAAUUUUUUCCUCAGUUUGAACAUUCAAUCUGAUUUAAUAACAGUCAAAUCCGACUUUUUUACGCGCGAAAAUCGGUCGGUGCGCGUUGAGCGGAAACUUCAAUGGAUCAUAACUCCGGAACCGUUUGGUUCCCCAGCUCAUUGGACCACUCGUUGGAUGCAGAAAAAGACGAGCAAUUUAAAAAACUGGUUUUGGUUCAAAUAAAAAAUUGAGAUCUUUGUAAAUUCUCUGUUUAAAAGAAAUUUUCUAGACCUAAAAACUGGAAAAAAGCACAUAUGUUGACUUAAAAAUGUGAUAUCGGAAUUUCGACCUUUAGAAUCUUACAGUAUGCAAUUUUAGACGAUUUUUCGUCCAAACCGGACCUAAAUAUCUUUUUUCGUUCGAGAGAUAUCGAGGUUCACAGGUUUUGACUUCCAACCCCCCCCCCCCCCCUAGCUCCCCCCAAAAUUUUUGAGGAGGAGUGCUCCUUCCCUUUUUACCAGAAUUGUAAAACUUAGGUAUAUUAACAUAAAUAUAUACCUAACUAUACUUUUUCCUUCAUUCAUGUGAUUCCUGCAAAUCCUCACAUUCUUAGUGUUUUCAUUACUGAAGAUUCGAAGAAUUCAAAAUAUUUAAAAAAAGUCAAUAAUAUUGAUUACAGGAAAAUUGGAAGAAUGCUCUUUUAUCGUUACAAUGAAUUCAGUGUUUAUAGUUGAGGAAAUUAGCUCAAAAUUACACCAUACAUAGUAUGGAUUUUC
This 3259-nucleotide long non-coding RNA is filed under the name Bemisia tabaci. RNAcentral describes it as "lncRNA ENSSSA3NGG003916". The record is from RNAcentral. Lineage: Eukaryota; Metazoa; Arthropoda; Insecta; Hemiptera; Aleyrodidae.